GCCGGAAUAGCUUCAGGAUCUCAAAGUGUGUGGGGAAAAAUGAGUCGUUCAAAAAAUAAGUUUGAACCAUUCAGUAGCAGUCAGGGUAUAACCCGUCACUGUAAGCAAACAAAUGUAGAUACCAUAGACCAGCAAGUGUUGGAAUCAUCUUCAGAGCCCCAAAGUAGUUCUGGACGCAAUAUGCGAAACACAUCUCAAAAGGCACUGCGUAGUCUAUUUGUGAGAGGGAUUCCUCAGAAGGACAACAAACCAGAAGCUCUUCUUUCACAUUUUAAAAAAUUCGGCGAGGUUAUCGACAUCUACA
This 304-nucleotide unclassified non-coding RNA is filed under the name Hevea brasiliensis (rubber tree). Lineage: Eukaryota; Viridiplantae; Streptophyta; Magnoliopsida; Malpighiales; Euphorbiaceae. The record is from RNAcentral.